CUGGAAAGCAGUGGUAUUAACGCAGAGAUGGGGCCAGGGCAGGCUGGCAGUCAUCAGCUGCCUUCAGGCUCGGACAGCAGAGAGGUGGAGGAGUUUCUGGAGCCAGUUCCCGACCUGUGCAUGCACAG
Pseudonaja textilis is the source of this 128-nucleotide non-coding RNA. The record is from RefSeq and is a predicted model, not a curated record. NCBI's taxonomy places the organism in Eukaryota, Metazoa, Chordata, Lepidosauria, Squamata, Elapidae.